UGAAGAAAGACUAGUGGAAUAAUGGUGAAUAACAUUGAGAUGUUUAUUGGUUUUGUCAAAAAAAGUGCAUCGAAAUCAAUAGUUUUUUUGAUUUAUUUUUUCAAUGUUUAAAUACGUAUGAAUUUGGUGACUCCUUCAUAAAGCUUUUGCAUAGUCUGACAUGUGAAGAAAGACUUGUGAAAUCAUGGUGAAUAGUUUUAAGAUGUUUAUUGGAUUUUUCAAAAAAAGAGCAUAGAUAUCAAUUCUUCUUUUGAUUUAUCUUUUCAAUGUUUAAAUACCAAUGAAUUUUGGGACUUUCUAGUAAAGCUUUUGCAUAGUCUUACAUGUGAAGAAAGACUAGUGGAAUAAUGGUGAAUAACAUUGAGAUGUUUAUUGGUUUUGUCAAAAAAAGAGCAUCGAAAUCAAUAGUUAUUUUGAUUUAUUUUUUCAAUGUUUAAAUACAUAUGAAUUUGGUGACUUCUUCAUAAAGCUUUUGCAUAGUCUUCCAUGUGAAGAAAGACUUGUGAAAUUAUGGUGAAUAAUUUUAAGAAGUUUAUUGGGUUUGUCAAAAAAAGAGCAUAGAAAUCAAUACUGAUUUUGAUUUUUUUUUCGACGUUUAAAUAAUAAUAAAUUUUGGCAGUUUCUAAUAAAGCUGUUGCAUAGUCUUACAUGUGCAGAAAGACUUGUGAAAUUAUGGUGAAUAACUUUCAGAUGUUUAUUGGUUUUGUCAAAAAAAGAGCAUAGAAAUCAAUACUUAUUUUGAUUUAUUUUUUCAAUGUUUAAAUACUAAUAAAUUUUGGCAGUUUCUAAUAAAGCUGUUGCAUAGUCUUACAUGUGCAGAAAGACUUGUGAAAUUAUGGUGAAUAACUUUCAGAUGUUUAUUGGAUUUGUCAAAAAAAGAGCAUAGAAAUCAAUACUGAUUUUGAUUUUUUUUUCAACGUUUAAAUACGUAUGAAUUUGGUGACUUCUUCAUAAAGCUUUUGCAUAGUCUGACAUGUGAAGAAAGACUUGUGAAAUCAUGGUGAAUAGUUUUAAGAUGUUUAUUGGAUUUUUCAAAAAAAGAGCAUAGAUAUCAAUUCUUCUUUUGAUUUAUCUUUUCAAUGUUUAAAUACUAAUGAAUUUUGGGACUUUCUAAUAAAGCUUUUGCAUACGCUUACAUGUGAAGAAAGACUAGUGGAAUAAUGGUGAAUAACAUUGAGAUGUUUAUUGGUUUUGUCAAAAAAAGUGCAUCGAAAUCAAUAGUUUUUUUGAUUUAUUUUUUCAAUGUUUAAAUACGUAUGAAUUUGGUGACUCCUUCAUAAAGCUUUUGCAUAGUCUGACAUGUGAAGAAAGACUUGUGAAAUCAUGGUGAAUAGUUUUAAGAUGUUUAUUGGAUUUUUCAAAAAAAGAGCAUAGAUAUCAAUUCUUCUUUUGAUUUAUCUUUUCAAUGUUUAAAUACCAAUGAAUUUUGGGACUUUCUAGUAAAGCUUUUGCAUAGUCUUACAUGUGAAGAAAGACUAGUGGAAUAAUGGUGAAUAACAUUGAGAUGUUUAUUGGUUUUGUCAAAAAAAGAGCAUCGAAAUCAAUAGUUAUUUUGAUUUAUUUUUUCAAUGUUUAAAUACUAAUAAAUUUUGGCAGUUUCUAAUAAAGCUGUUGCAUAGUCUUACAUGUGCAGAAAGACUUGUGAAAUUAUGGUGAAUAACUUUCAGAUGUUUAUUGGUUUUGUCAAAAAAAGAGCAUAGAAAUCAAUACUUAUUUUGAUUUAUUUUUUCAAUGUUUAAAUACAUAUGAAUUUGGUGACUUCUUCAUAAAGCUUUUGCAUAGUCUUACAUGUGAAGAAAGACUUGUGAAAUUAUGGUGAAUAAUUUUAAGAUGUUUAUUGGAUUUGUCAAAAAAAGGGCAUAGAAAUCAAUACAGAUUUUGAUUUAUUUUUUUAAAUGUUUAAAUACGUAUGAAUUUGGUGACUCCUUCAUAAAGCUUUUGCAUAGUCUGACAUGUGAAGAAAGACUUGUGAAAUCAUGGUGAAUAGUUUUAAGAUGUUUAUUGGAUUUUUCAAAAAAAGAGCAUAGAUAUCAAUUCUUCUUUUGAUUUAUCUUUUCAAUGUUUAAAUACCAAUGAAUUUUGGCACUUUCUAAUAAAGCUUUUGCAUAGGCUUACAUGCGAAGAAAGAUUAGUGGAGAAAUGGUGAAUAACAUUGAGAUGUUUAUUGGUUUUGUCAAAAAAAGAGCAUAGAAAUCAAUACUUAUUUUGAUUUAUUUUUUCAAUGUUUAAAUACCAAUGAAUUUUGGGACUUUCUAGUAAAUCUUUUGCAUAGUCUUACAUUUGAAGAAAGACUAGUGGAAUAAUGGUGAAUAACAUUGAGAUAUUUAUUGGUUUUGUCAAAAAAAGAGCAUAGAAAUCAAUACUCAUUUUGAUUUAUCUUUUCAAUGUUUAUUUAUUUGUUUAUUUUUAAUCAGUCGAUUUAAUCCUUAUGUUGAAAAGUUUAUGGAUUUAUUCUUUUUAUGAGCAACUAAUUGUAUACAUUUUUUUUUACUUAAACGCAUAUGAUAAAUUUUCUUUAAGAAAAACUAAUUUUUAAUUGUGGUCAGAUAAAUUUUUUCUAAUAGGACAAUGAAUGAACCUCCCAGCAAAUGAAAGUAACCUUUAUACUGGAGCAGAAGAACAGAGAUUUGUAUUAAAUUUUACAAAUAGUUUUUUUAUUGUGACAUAAUUAUUUGAAAUUGAUAAUGACUUAUUUUUGUUAUUAAAAAUUUAUCGUUAUAAAUAUUAAAUACAGUCGAGUACGGCCAAAGAUACA
This 2755-nucleotide long non-coding RNA is filed under the name Rhopalosiphum maidis (corn leaf aphid). Its description in RNAcentral is "uncharacterized LOC113558203, transcript variant X4". The record is from RNAcentral. Lineage: Eukaryota; Metazoa; Arthropoda; Insecta; Hemiptera; Aphididae.